This 253-nucleotide ribosomal RNA is filed under the name uncultured bacterium. RNAcentral's name for it is "partial 16S ribosomal RNA". It matches the Rfam family "Bacterial small subunit ribosomal RNA", at positions 524 to 776 of the family's 1533-position model. The record is from RNAcentral.
UACGUAGGGGGCAAGCGUUGUCCGGAAUCAUUGGGCGUAAAGAGCGUGUAGGCGGCUCGAUAAGUCUGCUGUGAAAGUCCAGGGCUCAACCCUGGAAGGCCGGUGGAAACUGUCGGGCUAGAGUCCGGAAGAGGCGAGUGGAAUUCCCGGUGUAGCGGUGAAAUGCGCAGAUAUCGGGAGGAACACCAAUGGCGAAGGCAGCUCGCUGGGACGGUACUGACGCUGAGACGCGAAAGCUAGGGGAGCGAACAGG